AAAAGAUUAAACUUAAAAUUAGCGAUAAAAAAUAAACUAAGGCGAGCAGUAUUCUUACUUAGCUUUUACGUACUAGUUAUGGUUUGCCUAUGUUCCUAGAUAAUCAAAAUAUCAAAAAUCAUCCAAUAAAUAAGUUAGUUAUUCAGAGAUAUAUACAUGUAAACUAGCAAACAUAAGUGAAUAUUGUCCAAGGUAAAGAAAAGGAAGAAACUGGACUCUUGACUGUUGGGCUGGUGAGCCUAACCAGGCCCAGCAUAAUUCGGCAGACUCCAUCAUGCGCAUAAGGAGCAGGCUGGAUUUGAAUUUGUGCCUGAGUUCCCAACGGAACUUAGGAGGCCCAAUGCAAAACAUGCACACAAAAAAUAAUAAAAAAGAUAAUUAGUGUAUAUCAAUCAUAAAACUAAUUAAAAUAAAGAUUAAGAAAAAUAAUAAUGAAGAACUAAAGAAUAUGGUGAGACGACUUUUAUUUAUGUUAACCCUAAGGGGACUAAUGAAAGACAGUGACUAAAGGCUUGGUAUGAAUCCUCAUUUAUGGAUAUGAUCCCCUUUGUGAGCCCUUGACACUUCAGAGUUCACGAGGGUAUCACAGACCCCGAGCAGUACUUGUGUCAAGGAGAGAGAUCAUAAACACAAUAAGUUUUCACAUCCAAAUACCCUUAACCACCCACUAUUAAUCUUCCUCAAAAGUUUAAACAGAAAUAAAGGAUCAACACAGUAAUUUCAUAUGGCCAAGACAUCAACAGUAGGUGUAAGAGUCGUGAUAAACCCUUUAAGGAUUCAAGCACACAAAGACUCCACAACUGUGAACAAAUAGGAUACUGUAAUUCAUUAUCAAAGCACAGAAGAAGUCAAGGGCAUAUUAUUGGCUUAAGAGGAUUCAUAUUAGAGUAUAAGAUAUACAGGCAUGCAUGGGAUCACUGUGGAUACUUAGUUAAACAAGAAAACAAAGUACAUACCAUAGACACAUUUCAUUGCUUAUAGAUUCUUGAUCAGAAGUGUUAUCAGCCAAGUAUUACAUAGAGGUGAACAGAAGUGUAUAUUUUACUAUCUUCAUUAUAGGUUGAAUGUUCCAGAAUUCUCCUAGGCAGAUUCAAGAUUAUAAGAACAAGCCACAAAUAUUUCUAAGGCUUCAGCAUAGCUAAGAGCAGGUAUACAUCUCACUAAGACCUCACCACCUUAACAGUUAGGCUAUAAAGUCACAAUAUACUAACACUUUGAUAUGCAAACAGGUUCACUAACAACAUUUUGUACAUGAGUCUGUGUGUGUGUAGGUUAUUACAACAUCAUGGAUUAGUUUAACAGUUAAAAUUAUUUAAACAAGGACAGAUAAUUAGGGUCAGUUUCUUAAUAGGAUCAGUCACUAAACUCAAAUUAUUUCAUUACCACAGAAAGAUUAGGACUACUAUAGGUGAACACAUAGAUGCAAGGAUAAACCUCUUCAAGCUACUGUCAUAAAAUGCUCUAUGGGCACAACAAUACUAAUACAACAGGUGUGAACUCAGGUGUAGAAACUAAGAAGAGUCAUGACAACAAAGAGUUUCAUGCAGCAGGGCUCAAACAAUUAGUAAAUGGCAUUCAUUCCAGAGGUUAAUCACAUUCAGAUAUGAGAACAUGCCUUCUAACAUACUGAUAGAGUUUAUUGUAUGAUCUCUUUUGUUUCCAACUAUCAUAAGAAGCACACAAAAAUUAUUCUGUUAAAAUAGUAUGAACAUGGCACUGGCUAGAGUCCAGAUAAAAAUCAUCAAUGACGCAAUCAUGUUCCUAGAACUAAGGCAAAAAUAACACAACAUCUCAAACAUCAAGAUGGCUUGGUGUUAACAAGUUAACAGUGUACUCAAGAGGAGCUUAAGCGUCUGAUUUCACAGGGAAAUAGUUACUUGACUGACAUAUUACAUACAAUAUUGUUGAUAUAAGAUUUAAUUAAUCAUGAAGCUUCAAUAGAGUCUAAGAGUAACAACAAUAUACAGAUUACUAGAUAUGCAAAACAAGCAGGUUAUCACAUUUACCAACUGAGAUUGUUAGAGUAGAUAAGUUGAAUACAAGACAUGAAAUAUAGGGAAUCCACUUAUAAGACCAACAUUAUGUCACAAGUAGGCGGGUCAAAUCAUCUAGAGGUACAAAAACACAAAGAGAAGUUUAAGAGCAUGAUUUAAGUUAGCUUAGCUGUCCUAGUUUUAUUGUUCAACUAACAGAGGUAGAUUGUGCACAAAAUCAACAUAAAGCUUAACUUAGCUUUAUCAUAUAUGCAUAGCAAAGUUAAUCACAAGAAUAUCACUUAGUCUAGGGUCUUUUUACUAAUUGAAUCAUGAAGGAUAGAAGUCAAUAGCACAUAUUUAAUGACAGGUUUUAAUACAACAUAACUUAAUAAAAACACUCAUAAUUUAACAGUAAAAUAGCAUUUUAAAGAAGGGUAUAACAAAUACGACCUUACACUACUAACAUCUAACAUGAACAACAAAGAAUUUAUUAAGUAAUCAUCAAGAAGACAUAAUUAUCAAAUGGAUUCAAAGUAAGGAGGGGGUCAGUAGGUACUGACCUUCUAUAGGGCAGAAAACCAAGUAAGGACGUGUUCAACAUCCAUUUCAGAGAUCCAAACUCAAGAUCAAUAUAGCAGUUGACUCAAACCGGAGAAGAGAAAGAAAACACAAAAAUUGGAGAGCACUUAGUGAGAAAACCUUAAAGUUUAACUCAUUUUUUUCUUUUAUGUUUCGGAUAGUAUUUGAUGCGUGGUAGGUGUGAAAAUAGAAUGUCCCUUUUAUAGUGGCACUCAAGACACUUAGGGUUCCGAUUGAUUCAAAUGGGUAGUGGAGAGUGACGACAGUCGAAUGAUGAUAACAAUAAAGGUGAAAUCUGUGAAGAACAGAGGGGAAAAAGCAACACAGAUUUACCUGGGCACGAGGAGAUGACCGUUGAAUGCGAAGACCUAUCAGACAAAGCCCCAAUAUCCAAAGGUUACUAUGUUUGACCUAUGGAUACGAAUAAUGAUGAUGGAAUCAGUGACAAUAGCCAUGCAUGCCUUGGAUUUGAAAGAACGAAGGGAGAACAGAUAAUUCUCAGUAGCAUGAUUUAGGUCUAGAGUUUAAUUGAGGCUUUUGAAUUUUAGUGAUGAAAACAGAAGUAUACCGGCUGGAUUCGCGGAUUAUAGUGACAAAUUGGGUGAUUUGAGGUUUGAAUCCGUGACCUUGCACAAAUUUGUGCAAGGUUUGUGAUUGGGGGUCAGAUGGGAUGAGAGAAAGGAGAGGGAAUUGGGAAAGAAGGGCGGCCGGUUAGGUUGUGAAUGAGUAGGGUUUAGGGGUCUCUAAGGAUUAAAAAUGAAAGACUGAAUCUGAGCCGUUGGAUCUCUCGAUCAACGGCUCUGAUUUUUUAGAGAAUGAAAAUUGAUAAAAAUAAAUUAUUAGAAAAAUGGGGCUCGUUGGAUCUUUGUUACACAAUGGCUGAGAUGGGGUCUGGCAAAGGAUUUUAAAAAAUAAAGGAAAAAUGGGGACUAAUGUGGACUGUUGAUGAUUUGAAUCAGUGGUCCAGAUGUGUUGUGUUUGUUUUCUGUGCAUGGAAGAUGGGCGACGUGGCAUGAUGCCAUUGGUUCAGAGGAAGUGGCAUGGAUUGCCAACAUGGAGUAGGAAGAGUGGGUCUGGACCGGGUUAGGGUGUUUGUGCUUGUGUAUUGGGGCUAAGAAUAGUUGAAAUGGAAUAUAAAACCUGGCCACUUUGAGUUUAAUUGAUAAAUUAAAAUUGUAGCCUUUUGAGCUUUUGACCUCUUUUAAAAUUAACUUAAUUAUGCUUAAUUAAUUCUAAUAAAAAUACAAUAAAAUUUAAACAUCAGAUAUAUUAUAAAUUACUCUAACUAAUUAGUUAUUGCUAUGAUACUUCAUUUAUUAAAUUAUGAAACUAAUUUUAGCUAAUUAAAGUAAUCAAGAUAAUUUAACUAUAGAUUAAGGACUGAUUUAUUAAAUUAAUUGUAAAAGUUAUUAUUAAGAUAUAAAAUUUAUUUGAAUAUUUCAAAAUAAUAAGAGUAAUACAAUUUAUAAAUUUUGAUAUCAAAUUGCUAUUAAUUCAACAAUAUUAAUUAUUAUUUUCCUAUUAUAUUUUGGAAAAAUAGGUAUUAAUUAUUAGAAAUAUUGUACCACAUUUAUUGCUAAUUAAUAAGCAUAACUAAUUUAAUUUUAAAAGAGAUUCAAUAUUGGUCGUCAACAACUGCCCCUCUUUGACCGGAGACGAUGAAAGAGUUUUCGGGCAAAGAAAUUACCUUAAAGACCAGUUUUGUCCCGACUCUAGGCAUGUAAUUGCAGAGAUGGUACAUGGGAUUGGGAAAGAUCAUGAGUUAUGAGAUUAGGGACCAAAUUCUGGCUUUGAAUCGCCUACAUACCUCGGGCUUAACGAGGAUCAUGACUCAUGUAGUUCUGAAAUGAUGAUUUAGAGAGGGUGGCACUUGCAGGAAUUGCCCCAGUAUCGUGUUAUGACGAUACCGCAAGACGGAAGAAUUUUGGAACCCGAAUGACUUCACAAACUGUAGCUUGACUAGGAGACUUGAAAGACUUGACGAUUUUAAAGUUCUACUGAUCGGAUUGAGUUGGAGUUUGAAUCCUUGGCUCGCUUAUAAGUUUGAUGUCCCUCAUAGCGUUGUAACAUGGUUUGCUGCUUAGAAGAAGUUCCACGUUGUAGUGUUUGAUCCUGCAAAAAAGAAGAUAGACACAUACCCAUAUAUCAUAAUGCAAAUACGUUAAGAUAUGAUGUAAAUAUGUAGGGAUGAUGAUGCUUGGCUUCCGGCUAGCCGUUAUUUGGGAUCUUGGGGCGAUGGGAUGUUUGAAUCUGAAAAUUCGAGAUCUGGAGCAUUAUUUGGGAUGUUAGGGAUGUGCCUUUGAAUCUAACUUGAUAGUUAGCCGGGCUGUGUACCAUUCCGUAGCUUUCAGAGCAUUUUAAUCUCCAUGUAAUUGUAGUAUCUCCGCGCGAUGGGAGUAGGUAACUUUAAAUUUAAAAUCUCUGCACGAUGGGAGUAUCUCCGCAUGAUGGGAGUAGUUGACUUUGAAUGUAAAAUCUCCACACGAUGGGAGUAGUUGAAUAUGAAAGUAAAAAUGCAUUUACGGUGUAUAAAUAAAAUGUCAAAAUAUUCAAGAUAAAGCAGAGAAGUAAAUGAGCCUUCCCAAGAGAUACUCUUGACUGUAGAACUAAUUUGCAGCCGUCGAUCGGCGAAACGUGUGGCAGAAUUNNNNNNNNNNNNNNNNNNNNNNNNNNNNNNNNNNNNNNNNNNNNNNNNNNNNNNNNNNNNNNNNNNNNNNNNNNNNNNNNNNNNNNNNNNNNNNNNNNNNNNNNNNNNNNNNNNNNNNNNNNNNNNNNNNNNNNNNNNNNNNNNNNNNNNNNNNNNNNNNNNNNNNNNNNNNNNNNNNNNNNNNNNNNNNNNNNNNNNNNNNNNNNNNNNNNNNNNNNNNNNNNNNNNNNNNNNNNNNNNNNNNNNNNNNNNNNNNNNNNNNNNNNNNNNNNNNNNNNNNNNNNNNNNNNNNNNNNNNNNNNNNNNNNNNNNNNNNNNNNNNNNNNNNNNNNNNNNNNNNNNNNNNNNNNNNNNNNNNNNNNNNNNNNNNNNNGCAGAUCCUGAUAAACAGCUGGAUAGACCUUCCCAAUAGACAAGCCAACAUCAGCUUGUUUGCUAAGCUCCACUUCCCUAGAGUUACCAGUUCUAGACCUUGGAGUUCCAUUAUAUAUAUAUAUAUAUAUGUUUGAUGGGUAGGUCGAGGCCCUGUCCCGACCAUGAUAUGGUUCAGUUAUCUCUAGAGGCUUGUAGAUGAGUCCUGUAUAUUUUGUAUAUCAGUAUUGUGGCCUUGCCCGCUCGGUGUACAUGUUAGUUUGGUAUUGUUGGUUGUAAACAUUCAUGGUGGCCUCGUCGGCCUUGAUUUGUAAGGUAGGCCUCAUCGGCCUUAGUGGAGGGUUACCACACCAGAGUUCAUAGUUAUAGAGUGGUACACUCGGGCCAAAUAUGGCACCGGGUGCCGGCCACGCCUCCUCAGGUUUGGGGCGUGACAAACUUGGUAUCAGAACAGUUCUAUCCUAGGGAGUCUACAAGCCGUGUCUAGUAGAGCCUUGUUUAUAGAUGUGUUGUGCACUACAUUAUAUAAACAGGAAGCUACAAGGCAUUUAGGAGUCUGUUACCCUUCUUUCAAAUCCAAAUCGUGCUAUAGAGCUGAGUUAUAAGAGUUCGAGCCAAGACUUAUGUUUGCUAAUUAUAUAAAGAUGCUUUCAAUUAGAAAAAUUAUAGCUAGCCAGUGGGCUAAUGCAGUAGUAGGUACGGGCAUUAGUAGAGAGAGAAUUCUUGACGACGUGGCCCUGCUUGAGGCCCUAUUAGAUCGUGCAUACCAGAUGGUGCACUCUAGAAUAGUACAGUCAGUUAUGAAUACUAGAACGUUCAAAAAUAUCAUAAAACAUGUAGUUGAAUCCUAGAAGGAUAAAUAUUUACCUUAGUAUGACUCCCGCCCCUAGUAAAAAGAGAAUAGUAGGCGACCCAAAGAGCAGUAAGAUGGAGCAAGGGGAGAUAAAAGUGAAAGAAUGUUUUGUUGAAGUUUUCAGAAUAAAGUAAUAGACAUAGAUAUUAGCAGGAGAACAAGAAAAGAGUAAAUGAAACAUUAUGAGUAAGAUGUUAUAAAUGGGUGAUAACGGUAAAUCAAAAUAAGACAAGAUGAUAGAGUCUAUAGUCAAGUGAAGGAAAAUACAAGAGGAGACAGGCCUUGAGUGUCACGCCCCAAAACCGAGGAGCACGACUGGUGCUCAAUCAAGUGAACCCGGCCGAGCAAGCCUAUUAGAUUUACUUCUACCCAACUUAUCCAUGAAUAAAAGGGGAUGCACUCCAUUAAUCAAACACUGAAAAUAUUUUAUUAACAACUACCGUUUCAUUCCAUUAACAACAUCAUUCAAUAUUUCCAAAAUAGUACGAGUUUAUAGAUUUAAUGAAAAAUAUGUUGCCAAAUACCAAUAGUUCUAAUUCAAUUCCCAACAUCAAAUACCACCCACAACCUGUCUACGGAGCCUCUAAGUAUAACUAAAGAGUAAUAUGGAAAUGCCGGCAAUAAGGCCCCAGCUAUACCUCAACUACAAAGUACAUGAGAAANNNNNNNNNNNNNNNNNNNNNNNNNNNNNNNNNNNNNNNNNNNNNNNNNNNNNNNNNNNNNNNNNNNNNNNNNNNNNNNNNNNNNNNNNNNNNNNNNNNNNNNNNNNNNNNNNNNNNNNNNNNNNNNNNNNNNNNNNNNNNNNNNNNNNNNNNNNNNNNNNNNNNNNNNNNNNNNNNNNNNNNNNNNNNNNNNNNNNNNNNNNNNNNNNNNNNNNNNNNNNNNNNNNNNNNNNNNNNNNNNNNNNNNNNNNNNNNNNNNNNNNNNNNNNNNNNNNNNNNNNNNNNNNNNNAAAUNAUAACUUUAAGUUCAUUAGUAAUGAAGUCUUUAUACACAAUAGAUUUCUUUCCAAUAAAUGGAGUAAAAUGAUUGGCAAUCGAAGCACAAUUUAAAACCAAACACAAUUUCCACUCACGAAUAUGUAAGAACGCAAAACACAUUGAAAAAAAAGACUUACAAAGCAUAACAUUAGCUAAAACAGCCACAUAUAGGCAUCACUUGAGUUCAUAAGCCUUUAACCAAUUAUAUUAUCGAAGUCAAUUUUGGAAUAGUUGAGUCAAAGCUCAUUUCAUAAUCUUUUUCACAUUAUUUUAUUUCAUUGGCACCAUUGGCCACAAGUAUAACUUUCAAUAUUGGCAUGUUGGCCACACUUUAUAUCCCCAAUUCACUGAUUUUACUUCCAAUCAUCUUUAUAGGUUAUCAACAAUAAGACAUUUCUAAUCAAGACUUUAGGUACACAUAUGAGAAAUUAAGAGUCUUAAGUAUAUUGAGAUUUUCUCACACAAUUUAGCAUACUAGCUUUCAUUUGAAAUAUGAUUCAAAGCCACAACAUUUUAAUACGCAACCCAUACUUUGAAACUCAUGGGAACAUUAUAGAGUUCGAUUCCAAGAGAGAAAGUUUAGCCAACAUACCUCAAUCGAGCUUCCUUAACUCUAAAAUAUUCCGGAAAUUCUUAGCAAUCCCAAUUUAUUUUGAGACAUAACAAAAAUUGAACCAUUAUUAGGAAGAUAUUCAUGAUCUCAGCACGUUUGAGCAUUUUAUCAAACACUAGGUGUUCAAAUUUAACCACAAGGUUCUUCUACAAGAUUUCCUUCACUCCACAACCCAAUCCUUAAUUAUUUAAGCUCAACAAUAUUUCCACAAAUCUUAUUGAUACAUGCAUGUAUAAAUAAUACCCUCAUACCCAAGAAUCACGCUCCCAAUUAACCAUCUUCUUUCCAAAUUCGAAAUUGAAAACUUGGGUAUGAAACCUUACCUGUUAGAUGAAGAACUUGUGGGAUUUCCUUGUUAAUCUUCCAAGAUUUGAGAAAGACUUGAUGAAUAAUUAGCCUAGGGUUUUCUCUCUCUCUAAAACACUCUCCCUUCUCUCUAAAACAUCAGAAGUUUUGCUCAAAAAUGACCAUUUGCGUGUAUUUAACGAAGUAGUGUCGGGUUUUAAAAAUCCAAAAAUGGAGCUACGGAACAGGUUCUGCGGUCACAUAUGCGACCGCAUAAUGGAUAUGCGGACCGCAUAUCGGUCGCAUAAUUGUUGACAAAAAGGAUCAAAAAUCUAUCUGUGUAUGCGGUCACUAUGCGGUCCGCACAACUGUUAUGCGGUCGCAUAAUGCACCACAUAACAGUUAUGCGGUCACAUAGUCGACCACAUAGCUGCUUCCAGAAUGGCCCUCUCCUGCUCACUUUUGCGGCCAAUAUGCGGCCCGCAGAGUGAUUAUGCGGUCGCAUAAUGGACCGCAUAAAUGUGUUUUUCUGCCAAAAAUGUUCCUUUACUUUCCGGUGCAUUGUUCAACCCAAAGAGUCCGAGUCACAGCUCGCAAGCUCGCCGUGAAGAAUUUAUACAAUCCUCAAACACGUAAGCCCAAUUCGGCACCACGAUACAUUAUUUUCUUUUGCAAAUUUUACCGGGCUUUACACUUAAGUACUUCAAAAUUUUUCGGGGUGUUACAUUGCGACUAUAAAAGAGUAUAUGCCAUAAAGUCAUAUCCUUAUUUCGAGAAAUGAGUUGGUGACUCUAACAUGAUUGCUAGAAGGCUAAGUUAGACCCCUAGAGUAAUAGAAAUUAGUAUGGGCUAGUAAACAAGAAAAAAAAUUGAACACGAUUUAGGGAACGAAGGAUUUGAUAAUAGUCGGCAUCGUAAGAAUUUCGGAAAUCGUGUUCCGGAAAUGAUAGAAUGGACAACAUAAGAAUAACCUUUAAAGGUCAUUCAGGAAGACGCUUCCCUAAAGCAAGCAAUGUGAGCAGAGUUAUAUUUAAGGGACUAAGUGUGCCAGUUACACUAGGUGUCACCCUCGCGCAUAAGAAAUCCAGUUAUCCCUGGUAAAGAAGGGUUACCGCAAGGCAAGUAAGAGUCAGUGAAGAUGUGAAAAGACGUCGAAGAUGAAGAGAUAAAAUAUUUUUAGGUAAAUCUUCAUAGCAUUAAGUACUCCCCUAAAGAGGGGAAGAUGAUGUGAUAUGGUAUUAAGUCAGAGUUAAGUGGUUCAGGUAACUAUAGAAUAGUAAAGGAAGAAUGCGGUAAAAAGGCGAAAGGAAUGAGAUUGCAUUUAUUUAGAUCCUACAGAUAUAUUACUACUCCAGAACAUUAUGCAAGCACGAUGUCGGGUAGAGGCAGUAAGGGUUCCCGGCCAGGAUGUUAUUGAUAAAUAAGUGUGAAUGGACACUUGAUACAUAAGAAGCCAGUGCAAGGGGUAAGUUAAGACAAAGGACAUAACCUAAGAGAGAGUACGCGGAAUAUAGAUAUGAGAAUAGACCAAUGAGUAGUUAGUAGUCGAUUCAGGAAGAGCCUGGUUAUGGCUAGACGAGAGGAUAUAGAUAAAUCAGCAGAUUAUGCCAGGUAAAGGUAGUGAACCCCAACAUGGGGAAUUCAGUCUCGCAGGUAUGUUAAGGCUAAACCUUUACUUCAUUUUGGCAUGAUCCCGUAACUUCAUGUGUUUGAUAACGAGACAUAAAGAGAAGUUCAUAUCCUGAAUUUAUGAACAUUAUCCUAGUCUCAUAAGUUAUCAUAUUCUCCCUUAUCAGGACUUUUUAUUCAGUUAAGUAUUGUCUUCUUCCAGUCAAGAGAGAAGAGGGUCUAUAUAUAUAUAUACAGUAUUACNNNNNNNNNNNNNNNNNNNNNNNNNUUACAGUAUUUUCACCACCAUCGAGCUAUAAUCGGUGGGCAGCCCCUAUUGGGCAGUAUUACAGUAUUUUCUCAACCAUCGAGCUAUAAUCAGUGGGCAGGCCCCUAUUGGAAAACCUCUGAUCAGAUGGUAAGUUACAUACCGAGCCUACUGUGACCGAGCACCUAUGAGCAAGCCCUGAAUGGCUAAGAUACAAAGCCUAGUAUGGCCGAGCGCCUAUGAGCGAGCCUACUACGGCAGAGCAGUUACAUAUACCGAGCCUCAUAAGGCUGGAUAACUAUUUUACUUACUAUAUUGAGAGAGUUCAGUUAGUAUCAGCAGGUAAGCAUAUCUUCAGAUUAUCUUUGACUCCUAGUUACUUUUAGUUAUUAUAUUAUCAGUUCAGUUUUAGCUUUCAGUUAUUCUAUUGCCUUACAUACUCGGUACAUUAUUUCGUACUGACGUCCCUUUUGCCAAAGAUGUUGCAUUUCAUGCCUGCAGGUCCUGAUAGACAACUGGAUAGACCUUCCCAGUAGACAGAGCCAAACAUCAGCUUGGUUGGUAAGCUCCACUUCCCCGGAGUUACCAGGUCUAGACCUUGGAGUCUAUUUUAGAUAUACUAGUUUGAUGGGUAGGUCGAGGCCCUGUCCUGACCAUGAUACAGUUAAGUUAUCUCUAUAGGCUUGUAGACGAGUCCUGUAUAUUUUGUAUAUAAGUAUAGUGGCUUUGCCAGCCCUGUGUAGAUAUUAGUUUGGUAUUGCUGGUUAUAGACAUUCAUGGUGGCCUCGUCGGCCUUGAUUUUUAAGGUAGGCCUCAUCCGCCUAAGUGGAGGGUUACCCCUCCAGAGUUUACAGUUAUAGAGUGGUAUGCUCGGGCCAAAUAUGGCACCAGGUGCCGGCCACUCCCCAGGUUUGGGGCGUGACAUAUUGCAUCGAAUACUUGACUCUGGAAUACCUGCAAAGAAUUUUAAAUUAGUAUUUAACUAUAUGAGAAAUUGAAUUGAAUAAUAAAGGUGAGAUAGGGGCUCAUGAAAUUGUAGCUGGUCCGUCAUUGAUCCCGGUGUGCUUUGGUCUCCUUGAUUUUCGUCAAUCCUGCGAUCAAAGAAACUUCUUAGUAAGGGAGGGGGAGGGGCAUUGAUUUGUGUUGAUUGUAGACCUGGCCUUGCCCUGGAUUAGGUGGGUUAUACCAUCAUGUUCGAUAGGUGGAAGAGUAGAAUAUUCUAAAGAUAUUUUGAAAUGUCGUUUAUGUUUAUGGUAAACGUCAUUGUUCCGGAUUAUGACAUAUUUAGAAAUUCUUUAUGAUAGGAGUACCAUUUUUGGGUGGCUCUAUUCUAUUGUUGACGAUCUCCUAGGUAUGCCUUUGAUGACGAGCUUCUUGCCAUCGUAAUCACACCCUAAUCUAAACAAAUGCAUUACAAAGGACUUUCUAGGGUUAUGACCGAACCUUUUCAGGUUGCCUACGUAUCUAAGUGGAAUCAAGUCGGAACAUAGUUCAAGGAUGAUAAAAUGAUGAAAUGAAUUAUGAUGACCGAGCCUGACUCAGGCAUCCUACGUAUCCAAAUGGAAUUAGGUCAAAAUGUAGUUAGAUUAUAAUAGAUGCAAAGUGUUAAAAUUUCAAAUGAUAUAGAUGAGUUUGACUCAGUUCCUAUGAUCCAAAUGGAAUCAGGACAAAAUGUAGUUUGAUUACAAUUGAUGACUAAAUUCGAUGUGGAUUGCCUAUGUAUUCCUGCCAAAGGAAAUCAAGUUGCGGCGUAGUUUCGAAUACAUACAAAAUGACAUUUGGAUUCUAUUACAAGAGGGGGAGGGAGACCAAACACUACGUGGGUUGCCUACAUAUCCCACUGUGGAAAGUCAGGUCAGGCGUAGUUCUAUUAUAACAAAACCCUAACUCUAUUAUCUUCAAAUAUAGUAUGUCUUGAUUGCGUCUGAAUUGAUUGGCUUUGUGCUGACUCUGUCGUCCAUUUCUACUAGGAUUAAUGCUCCUCCGACAAUCCUCGAUAGACCAUAUAAGGACCUUGCCAAUUCGCUGCGAACUUCCUCUUGGCCCCUUCUUGAUGGGGGAAUAUCUUCUUCAAAACCAACUACCCCGGUGUGAACUGCUGAGGUUUCACUUUUUUGUUGAAUGCGUUGGCCAUCUUAUUUUUAUACAACUGACCAUGACACACUGUGUCCAUUCUCUUUUCAGUAAUGAGCAUGAGUUAUUCUUUCUUGACACGCAUCCAUUCUACAUCAUCUAGCUUGGCUUUCUGGAUAACUCUUAAAGAUGGUAUCUCGACUUCUGCGGGUAUCACAGCUUCUGUGCCAUUUACCAAUAUGUAAGGAGUUGCCCCAAUAGAUGUGCUCAUAGUAGUGCAGUAACGAAGAAGGGCAAAGGAUAGUUUCUCGUGCCAUUUCCUGUGAUUUUCCACUAUCUUCCGCAAGAUCCUCUUGAUGUUUUUGUUGGUUGCUUCAAAUGCUCCAUUCAUUUAUGGCCUGUAGGAGAUGGAGUUACAUUGAAUGAUUAUUAACUUCUCACAAAUAUCCAUCAUGAGAUCGCUAUUGAGGUUGGACGCAUUGCCAGUUAUGAUUGACCAUAGAAUCCCAAAUCGGCAUACUAUGUUGUUACGGACGAAAUCUGCCACCACCUUCUUUGUGACAACCUUGUAUGUAGAGGCUUUGACCCAUUUGGUGAAGUAGUCGAUGGCUACUAAGAUGAAACGAAGCCCAUUCGAUGUGGAAGAUUCUAUAGGUCCAAUCAUAUCCAUGCCCUAAACGGGAAACAACCAAGGAGAACUUAUUACGUUUAACUCAUUCGGCAAAACCCGGAUGAAAUCCUCGUGAACCUAACACUGGUGACACUUCUGCACAUAACGGAUACUAUCACUUUCCAUGGUCAUCCAAAAGUAUUCGGUUGUCAAGAUCUUAUUGGCUAGGGUGAAACCAUUCAUGUGAGACCCGCACGUUCUUGCAUGUAUUUCUUCCAAUAUUCUUGUUGCUUCAGCAAUAUCCACACACAUUAAUAGACCCAAGUCUGGGGUUCUCCUAUACAGGACUUCCCUGUUAAGGAAAACGUGAUUUGCUAAUCUUCUUAAUGCUUGCUUCUGACCCUUGCUUGCACUUUCUGGGUAGUAUCUUGCUUCGAGGAACCUUUUGAUAUCACGGUACCAAGUCUUACCAUCUGGCUCUUCAUCUACAUGGAAACAAUAUGCAUGCUGAUCUCGAACCUCUAUCUCGAUGAGGUCGAUGUAAUUCUUGUCUGGGUGCUAAAUCAUGGAUGAUAAGGUUGCAAGAGCGUUGACGAAAUCAUUCUGGAUUCUGGGAACAUGUUUUAACUCGAUCUUGGUGAACUUCUUACACAACUCCUUUACGUAGUGCAGGUAUGGAAGGAUCUUGACAUUCUUGGUGGUCCACUCACCCUAUACUUGAUGUAUCAGCAAUCAGAAUCUCCUAUGACCAAAAGUUCCUUGAUGUUCAUGUCGACUACCAUCCUAAUCCCGAGGAUGCAUGCCUCAUAUUCUGCCAUAUUAUUUGUGCAAUAGAACCUUAUCUUAUUAGUUGAAGCUGGAUAAUGCUGUCUUGACUCGAAAUUAAGGAUUGCCCCGAUUCCUACUCCCUUGAAAUUUGCCACUCCAUCAGAACAAAUCCUCCACCCUGGAUAUGACUCUUAAAUGUCCUCCCUAAUGAACAACACUUCUUCAUCUGGGAAAUAUAUGGUAAGUGGCUUGUAAUCCUUGUCCACCGGGUUCUCUGCAAAAUGAUCAGCCAAUGAUUGUCCUUUGAUAGCUUUCUGCGCCACGUACACAAUGUUGAACUUACUGAGAAAGAUAUGCUAUUUGGCCAAAUUUCCCAUAGGCGUUGGCUUCUGGAAGAUGUACUUAGCGGGCCGAGUCGGGAUAUCAAAUAUGUGGUAUAUACCGAUAGGUAGUGCCUUAACUUCUGAGUGAUCCAGAUCAAAGCAAAGCAGGUCCGCUCUAACAAGGUAUAUCUAGCUUCGUAUGGUGUGAACUUUUUGCUCAGGUAAUAGAUAGCUUGUUCUUUCUUUGUAGUCUCAUUGUGUUGUCCCAACAUGCAUCCAAAUUCAUUAUCUAAAACGAACAAGUAUAGUAGUAGCGGCUUCCCAGGUUCAGGAGGAACUAACACUGGUGGACUCGACAAAUACUCCUUGAUUCUGUCGAAAGCUUUCUGACAUUCCUCUGUCCCCUUGGUAGCGACAUCUUUCUUCAACAACUUAAAAAUUGGCUCACAGAUUACUGCUGAAUGGGCUAUGUAAUUCAAUCUUCCAAGAAAGAUUAUCACAUACUUAUUGAUAUUGGGUGGAGGCAAGUCUUGAAUGGCCUUGAUCAUUGAGGGGUCCAUAUCUAUCCCCUGUUUGCUAAUUAUGAAACCUAACAGUUUUCCUGCGAGAACUCCGAAUGCACACUUUGCAGGAUUCAACUUCAAACUGUACCUUCGCAACCGCUCAAAGAACUUCCUUAAGUCUUUCAAAUGAUCUGCACUCUUUCGAGACUUGAUGAUGAUGUCAUCCAUAUAUACCUCAAUCUCCUUGUGGAUCAUGUCAUAAAAGAGGGUCGUCAUAGCCCUCAUGUAGGUAGCACCAACAUUCUUGAGACUAAAUGGCAUGACCAUGUAGCGAUAAACUCCCUAUGGUGUGGUGAAUGCUAUCUUUUAUGCAUUUUCUUUGUACAUAAGAAUCUGGUGGUAUCCAACAAAACAAUCCAAAAAUGAUUAUAACUCGUGUUCGCAUAGUUAUCCAUAGGAUAUGACUAUUCGACAGAGGAAAGUCAUCCUUGGGACUGGCUUUGUUGAGAUCUCGGUAGUCCAUGCAUAUCCUGAUCUUCCCAUCCUUCUUAUAUACCGGCACAAUGUUUGCCAACCAAGUAGGGUAAUUGGUGACCCUUACUACAUUUGCUUCUAUCUGUAUUGUAACUUCUUCCUUGAUCCUCAGACUCAAAUCUGGCUUGAAUUUUUGGGGUUUCUGUUUGACGGGUUGUUUGGCGGGAUCUGUGGGUAAUCGGUGCGAGACAAUGUCGAUACUUAGUCUGGGCAUGUCGUCAUAUGACCAAGUGAAUACAUCUAUGUAUUAUCGAAGGAUCUCUACCAAUUCUUCCUUCUGUUCCGCCUUCAGAUGGAUACUGACUCGAGUCUAUUUCACAUCUUCUUCAUUUCCUAAAUUAAUCACUUUUGUUUCUUCGAGGUUGGAUUUCUUCUAGAUUUCUAGCUGCUCGAUCUCUUACGGGAGGUUCUCAAGCAUCAUACUCUCGUCGUACUCCUUGUAAUCCGAAUCGUUUUGCACAAGGGUUUCGUUACAUGUCAUAAUCGCGAAACGUGAGUUUUUAUUGAUUUGAUUACUGAAAAGAAAAAUUGAGUAUAAAUAAAGAUAAAGAUGAAUUUGCGAUGAUUUCAGGAAAGUAAUUCUUUUUAUUUUGCCAAAAGUAACAUCACAGCGUUCAAAGAGGCAAUUUAACAAAAAGGUACAGGCAUGGUACAGGCCUCAGUUGACCAUGCAUUUUUGAAAAGUAAUACAAUUCCACACUACCAAGACUCCCGGCGAACCAGGGAUGGACUGGCGGUCCAGUUCUGCAAGGUCUCUCCUGGUUCGGCAUCUCGAAUGGUCGGUGUCUUGAUAUCAGCUUUGCCACAACAUUCCUCGAUCAUGGCCACAAACAAUCUUCCCAUCCCAUCGGUGAUAUCACCUUCUGGUGGUGAGAUCUGACCCGGGCUCGGAACACGCUCUGGUAUAAAAACCUUCUUCCUAGGGUUACCAUUAUAGAUUCUUCCAGUUAUAGACUGAUACCCCAAGCCGGUCGUACCUUUCUACCCUUUUAGUUCAAUUGGCUCUGUUAUCCCAUCUGAUCGGGCUCCCAGCUCGGUCCCUGGUCGAUAUUCAUACUUCAUCAUUUCUCACAUUGCUAUAUUUGACCUAUAUGGUGAUUGCAUGCUAUGAUUUUGCUCAUUCUUCUCCAUUUCUAUUGCUUGCAUGAUCUCGACUGCAUGGAAGGUGACCCCAUCUAAUCCUUCUAUGAAAUAAACCACAUGCUCUAAGUAAUCUGAUCGGCUCCACUUCCCAUGUAUCACAAUCUUCUAGCAAUCCCACUCGAAUUUCAUACACUGAUGGAGAGUGGAAGGAAUUUCCCCUUCCAUGUGUAUCUAAGGCCUUCCUAGUAGUAUAUUAUAUGAAGACGAAAUGUCCAUUACUUGAAACAAUAUUGGGAACUCAAGUGGUCCAAUCUUCUAGGCUAAGUAGAUUUCUCCGAUAACAUCCUUCUGCGACCCAUCGAAAGCCCUUACUCUUACAUGGCUCUCUUUUACUUCCCUCAAGUGAAUGCCCAAUUGUCGUAGAGUAGAGAACAGACAAAUGUUUACUCCGGAUCCUCCGACGACAAGCACCGGAGACACGACGUUUUCUCCAAACUUGAUUGUGAUGUGCAGAGCCUUUUUGUGAUCCAUACCUUCCACAGGAAGUUCAUCCCUCCGAAAGGAAAUCUUGUUUGCCUCCACCAUUUUCCUGAUGGUUGUUGCUAGUGCCUCACUGGUAGUAUUGCUUGGCAUACUUACCCUGCUUAGUGUUUUUAUCAUAGCAUCCCUGUGACUGUCGGAGCUCAUCAACAAAUCCAUAAUUAAUACGUGGGCAUGAGUCUUCCUCAAUUGUUCUUCUACGGAAUAUUCUUUAACCAGCAUCCUCCUCCAAAACUCUGCUACCUCCGCGUCUGUUAUGUUUCUCCUCUGAUUCUGCUCUCUACUUGGGUUCCCUCAGUUUACCUCUUCUGGAGCGUAACACCUUUUUGACCUAGUCAUCCUAUGAGCAGCUGCGGUGUCUAUUAUUUAGCCCUUUCCCUUCAACUUUUAAGUCCAUGGAACUACUUUAUAUUCUCGACUCCCCUCAUUUUGAACAGUGGUGGUGGACUGUUGUUGGUAUGUCUCACAAGAGGUUUCAACCGCACAGUGAUCAAUGGAUUUACCCGAGGGGGUGUUCUUGCAGCUUCGGCAUUCCCAAUAGUGACGAUAGUACCUUUCAAGUCAUAGUCCUUGUCUUAUGUGAUCUUGUUGGAUCCUUGGUUUCUGUGGUUUGGUAGUGGGUUAUGGUUUAAAUUUGGUUGGGCUAGGGUGCACUGGGUAGCUCCACUCUUGAUUAAUAGUUCGAUCUUAUUCUUGAAUCUAUAAUAAUCCUCGGUGUCAUGCCCAGGAACAGCUGAAUGAUUGGCACAACGCUUGCUUGCAUCGAAAUAGUUGGAGGGUUGGUUGGGGAUUCUUCCUUCCACCGGGUAUAUUAGUCCAACUCUUUUCAACCUUUCAAAUAAUUUGGUUAAAGGCUCAACAAUUGGGUUAAAGUUUCUGGGAUUCCUUUCUUCAACGUAUUGACGUGGCUUGGGUGUAUAUGCAUGUCUGUUUUGGUGGGUUGUGGUUUGAUCUGGAGCAUAUGGAUGUAUAUUGGCUCGUGGCAGGUUGUAGUGGGGUUGAGCAUUUUAGUAUGGUUGUGUGUUAUACACAAGGGUAUAAGUGGGUUGAUGUGGAGGGUGAGUGUUUGUGGAGUAGGAGUUGGUUCGACGAGGAGUACUUGAUUGAUAGUAGGGGACGAUCGCCAUUACUUCCUCUUUCUUUCUUCCCACUGUCGAUGAAACCAGAUUGUAUAACUUUGCCAGCAGCUUGUAGCGCGACCAUUGACUGUAUCUUUCUUGACAUGAUAACUUCCUCCAAGAAAUCUUCUAUUUUGACCAGCUAGGGAAAUGUUUGCCCCAUCAUACCUAUCAUCUUUUCUAAAUAGAUCCCUUCUUGAGCGUAAAAAAAUUACUCAGUUAGCUCAUUAUCAUCCAACAGAGGUUGAGUCCUAGCAGCUUCUGAUAUCCAGCGGCGAAUAUAUUUUUAAAUGAUUUAGAGGGCUUCAUUUGUAGAUUCACCAAAGCGAAUAUAUCCGGAGUGAUUUCAGUGUUAAAUCUUAUGCGAAUCAUAAAAUCUUCGGCCAUGUCCUACCACUCGCUCCAAUUCCCGGGUCUUGUAUGGUAUGCCAAGUAAGCGCUUCUCCAGUUAGAAUCCUUAUAAACAGUUUUAUUCUUAACUUUUCAUUUUUCCCACUCUGACCAACUUGUCGUGAUACGCUCUCAAGUGAGCGUAGGGAUCACCAGUUCUGUCAAAGAUAUUGAACUUCGGAGGCUUGUAUCCUGCAGGCAUGCCAAUAUCUGUAUGUAUAAAUAGGUGCUCAUAAACCAAGCUCUUGCUCCCUCGAGCAAUUUGGAGUUUCUUCUUCUGUUUCCUCAAUACUUGUAGUUGUUCCGAUAAUGAUUCUUCCUUGUAUAUUGAAUCUUUCUUCAUUUCGGCAUAUUGGUCUAUCUCAUAGGGCACUCUGACAAUGAUGGGAGCGGUAAAGGUAGGCUCAGAAGCGGCAUAUAUGUAAGGCCCCAUAAAAAAAUAAUUCUAAUGAUUAAGACUUCAUAGUGCACCAAUGACGUUUGGGAAUAAUAUUAUUUUUUAAGUACUAAAGGAGACCUAUGGAGUGGAACCACAUUAUUUUGUCAUGAAAAGUGUUUCAGAACAUAUUAAUGAGGUUUGUAAGUGGGAAGAAGUUAUUAGAACGAGUUGGAUAUAUUAAGUGGAAAGACGUCUAAAUGUUUGCACUACACUUGACUUUGAAUGGUUAUAACUCUCAUAAUAUAAAGGUAUUUCCCAUGCAUUUGUUCCCUAAAGCGUAGCUCUUUGAGUCUAGUUUCUAACGCAUCAAGCCAUUAGUCAUUUAGACAUUCCUACUAAACGUUAUGAUCAAAUUACCAAAGUCAGAUCACCCAGUUAUUUUGGCGGACAGCGAAGCAAGGCUUGCUUCGCCAGACCGGGCGCGGAUCCUGUCAUCCCUUGUAUGCUGUGGACAGCGAAGUGAGGCUCACUUCACCAGACUGGGCGCGCCCCAGCUUUAGGUCCUUUUAAGUCAUUUCGUGGGCUCAUUUUCCCUAUUUUAUUUGGACGAAUUUUGGAGUUUUCCUCCACUCUCUCAAGACCCCCAAAUCCUCCCAUCUUCAAGAAAAUAAAUCCCCAUUGUUUUGGUGUGAAUCCUAUCAUUUCCACACUAGACGUAACUCAAUCCACCUUGAAAUCCUUAGAUUUUCAAGAAAUUGCUUCAAGAACUAAAGGGAGGAUUUUGCAAGAUUUCAUCCAAAAGGUAAUUCUACACCCUUAGACUUAUAUGCAUGGAUUUAUUAUGGGAAUAUGAGUAAUAAUUGAGUAUUGGAACUCAUGGGAUGGUGCUUGGAAUCCAUAAGUUCCCAAUUUAAAAACUUAGCCAUUGUGGAGAUUGAAAGGUGAUUAUUUGAUGGAAUUUUGUUGGUUGGGUGAGGAUGGAUGGUCAUGCAUGUGAUUGUUGGAAGUUAUAAAUUGUUUAAGAAUGAUGGUGGGAUAAAUUUUGGUAAAUGGUGGUAGUUGGAUGAACUAAUUCUAUGGUUUAGAGAUGUAGAGAUUUAUGCCUACUAGGUGUUUGAUAAAGUGUCUAAAUGGNNNNNNNNNNNNNNNNNNNNNNNNNAGUAUAGUGGAUCAUUGUAGUAUCAUUAUGGGGCUAAUAUGAGGUAUGUUGGCUAAACUUCUCUCUUAGAAUUGAAUCCCGCGAUGUUCUCGUAAGUCUCAAGUAUGAUUGGCCAAUUUCUUAUUUCUCAUGUCCCGAGUUAUUCAUUAUAAAUUUGACUAUUCCGAAUAAGCUUUGUGUCGAAAGAUGUAUGUUUAAAAUGUGUUCCGAAUGCUCUUGUCAUAUUAUGUUAUCAUUUGAGAAUGUUUUCAAAGUAUGGGUGGUGUAUUAAAAUGUUAUGACUUCAAGUCAUUUUUCAAAUGAAAGCUAUUAUGCCAAAUUAUGUAGAAAUAUCAAUGUGCUUAAGACUCUUAUUUACUCACAUGUGUAGUCAAAGUGUUGAAUAGAAAUGCUUUGUUGUUUGAAAGUCAAAGUGAAAUAUGAGAUACGGCGAACGUGCACAUUUGGGGCCACUAGUGCCAAAGAAAUUAAGAGACAUGUAAAAGUGUUGAAAUGAGUUGUAAAUCCUUUAAAAAAUAAACACUUUGGGAGUAUCGUUACUCACCGAGGAAGGGUAGGUUGAAAUAGCCUAGCCCCAAAAUUACACGUGCCGUUGUAGGAGUGAAUUGUGAUUAUUUCCCUCAUUUGGGGUGAGAUUGAUGUGAUGAGUAUAUUCUCCUUUAUUGGGAAGAGAUGAUUGCUAGAAAAGGGUGAUGCCGAUCGACACGACAUUGUGGUGAGAUGCCCUAGCCAGUCGGGUCGUGAUCGGACGCCAUGCCGCACACAUAGUAGUGAUUGUGCUUGAGAUUGUGAUUGAGAUAAUGAUUGAGAUUUUGAUAGUGUUUGUGAUUGUGGUUGAUGUCUUUGGUUGAGACGGCCUAGCCGAUCGUGCUAUGAUCGGACUCUAUGCAAAAAUCACGGUGGUAUAUCGAUGCUAAAGAUCUCCCAAUCUAAAAUAAUGAAAUUUACUUGAAAUCUUAUCUUGCUCCUAACUUGAUGUUUUAGUAUUGUUUGAGGCUUCCGUUUAUUUUAUGACUGCUCUUCCUUGUAUUGUUACCUGUUCUAAUGAGAGGGUGUUUAGUCAUACAUACUAGUACUAUUCCAUAUGUACUAACGUCCCUUUUGACGGGGGCGCUGCAUCUUAAAUUGAUGCAAGUGGUUCCGCAGCAGGUGGCAUUGAUCAUUGAUAGCAGUACACCCUCUUCUCAGCAGAUUUGGUGAGCCCCAGUUCAUUCGGAGUCGUGUAUUGUUUGUCCCACGUGUAUUAUGUUUUGAUGUAUAGCCGGGGCCUUGUUGCCAGUGUUAUCAUAGUAUUUUGUAUCCAUAGAGGCCCCGUAAACACAAAGUGGGUUGUAUAUGGGUGUUGGGAAAGUAAAACUAGCCUUGUUGUAUUUGAAUCACUUAUUGCACUUUAACUGUGAUUAUGUAUGUAUUUUGAGACUAUAAAAUGAAGUGACUAAUGGUAAUGGAAUUGUCAUUGUUCACGGAAUCCACUUAAUGGUUAAUUAAUGCUAUAAAUGUAUCUUCUCUUUAUUGAUGGACGAGUUGGGUAGAGGGUAUUGUAAAGGCUUGCUUGACCGGGGUAUCUCGGUUGAGCGCCGGUCAUGCUGCCCAAGGUCGGGGCGUGACAAAUAUGGUAUCAGAGCCUAUGGUUUUAAAGUGUUCUAGGAUGUUUCGGAACCGUGUCUAGUAGAGUCCUUCUUAUCGGUGUGUUGUCGACCACAGCGAUAAUUAGGAGGCUACUUGGGCAUUUAGGAAUGUUACCCUUCUUCAACUCUUUAGAUCGUGCGAUAGAGCUUGGCUAUAAAAUUAUCUUCUAACUCAUGCGUUGAGGUUCAGGGUAAGUUUAAACGAUCUUUCGUCUAUUCCAAGUAAUAUUGUCAUAUGGCAUGAUAAAUGGGUAAAGACCUGAAUAUUAAAGAGAUGGCACACGUAUCAUGUUGAAUGAAUGGUAUGGACAUAUAAGAUAAGUAUAUAGUGUAAGAAGUGAUUACCUACCUCCAAAGAGACAUUGGCAUGGUAAUUAAGACCUAGGCUUAACUAGUACAUGUGGAUAGUGUGGGAACCAUGUAUAUGAUCCUAAGAUGUUAAAGAAAAUUUGUUACAUAGGCAUGUGGUAUAUGAAAGGCAUGACUUGGAGGGUAAUGACGAUAGUGAAGGUCUCUCACGGGAGACAAGAAGUUAUGAAAGAGAUAAUGAUGAGUUCUUUAUGCCCAUAUGUGACUUGUUUGGCAAUGAUAAGUCCAAGGAGGAGAAAAAAAGGGAACAUCAAAGUAUAUGUAAUAAGAUGACUCUUUGAGUAUAAGGAGAGUCAACUGAACUCAUAAUGAGAAGAUCCUUGCACCAUGAAUGUUAUAAGUGUCCCAGAAAUGUACGAAGUUGUGUUACACUCCUAAAUGAUAUUGACAUGAGGAUUUUGGGUCCCAAGCAUGUGUGGCUGAAUAAGAGUUGAGCACUUAUGAGGUUAAUACCAUGGCAACUUAAACCUCCCUAAUAGUCGAUCAUAUACAAGAGGACUAGAGAUAUGAAACAUAUGUCUCUCAAGUUGCUAAGUUCAAGACUUGUGUCAAAAUCUGGAACAUUCUCCUAAGUAAGGAAGGAAGGGCCAUAGUGAGUCUACUUAAGCUCAAUAAAACAAGAGUGAACCAUGUAGCUAUGAUGUUUGAAUAUUUUAUUGAAGACAUGUGUAGUCUAGAAAAGUGGUAAGGGUUAAUGUGAUGCUCUGAAAAGAUACGCUAAUGAUAGACCACUAGUACACCCAAGAGUGUGGAAGGUUAAGAAAGGUAAAUUCUCCAUACAUGACAAUUUACAUGACAUGGUCAAUGAUCCUAGGACUAAGGGAGAGAAAAAGGGAUAAGUGUAAGGUUUGAAAGAGGGUUUUAUACUUGUCAGAGAGUCAAAGACAAUGGAACCCAAAGAGGUACUAUAUAUCAAAUGUGAAAGGCUUGGUGGUGUUCAUAAUGAGUUAAUCAUGGAUCUGCGAUUUAGCUAAAUUCCCAAGACUCUAAGAAAGACAGAACGAGUGGGAGAAAUAAAUGUGAUGCUAUAAUAACCCAAGAUUGAAUUUGGACUCGAUGGAGAGCCUAUUAAGAAUCUUACAAGCAAGGAAUUGUUAAGUGAUACAUGGAAGAACACACUUUCCCACGGAUAUCCCAACAAGUGUCAAGAGGCUAGCAUGAUGAAUUCACAACUAAGGGAAAGGACCACGUAACAUAUGGAAGAGUGCAUAGCUAAUCACUAACUAGGAAGAAUGAGGCAAGAAGAAUAGGAAGAAAAUCUAUAAAUUAAGAUGGUCAUAGUUAUAGUAAAAUAGUUCGUACCAGGAUUGUGGACUCGCCUAGAGCACAAGUGUUAAUAGAAGGUAUAAAGGACCAACCGUAAUGCAGCUGACUUGGGUGACACUGAAUAUCAACUAAAUGAUUUAGAGGGAGUUCAUGUCUACAUAUUACAAUGGAAAGUGAGACUACUGGUGGUGAAGUGGUGGUGUGGUAAACUCAAUAAACCAGGCACAAUGAUACUACGAGUUCAUGGGAGAUGUGUGUGGCACAAUAAGGCUAUCAACUAUGCAUUAAGGGAAAAAUGGGAUGGGAAUGAGUGUCCCAGUCACGAAGAAAAUAGUACCAACAUAUUGUCUAUGCCAAAAGGGCGAUCAAAAAGGGAAAAACAACACAAUCUACCCAAAGGACAAAAGGAAAUGUUCGAAACAGAUUGAGAGAGGAUGAAUACUUGUUACGAACCAGACAUGUUUAACAUGAUAGCUAUCAAGCUACAAUACCAGGAAACACUAUUGGUAGCUAUAAUACUGGGAAUAAGGUGAGUUACUUAUCGAGGAUGGAAUUAGGUGGACUAAGUCUUACACUUAGAAGGAAAAUAAGAAGUCGUUGUUGAAGAAUUUAGGAGGAUCUCAAGGUUUCAGAAAAGGCCCUGUUCGGGCCAGUGACUCUUUUGAAUUGAAUAUAUAUAAAAGGGUGUUGAGAUGUGCUUUGGAGGUGUUUAACAGUAAGGAUCGUGAGAAUUUUCACAAAGGAAGUAUAAUGAUUUCUUAAAUACUAUAAGGCACAUAAGAAGGAAAGAGAGUAGAUAAGAAAGGUCUGAGCAUAAUGUAGAUUUACAUUUGACGCGAUUUCAUGCAGGUUAAUGUUAUGAUGGUGUGUACACAAGCUAGAGGAUGUUAUUUAUUUGAAACGGGAGGUCCUUAUAAAAAAACUCAUCAAGUAAUGUCUUUUGUUGAGAAUUUAGAGGAGCAAGUUGCACGUAUUGACAUAAGAUUGAAACUCUAUCAAGGAAAUUAUUGUGGAACUCAAUUCCUUGGAGGUCAUAUGUAAGAGAAAUGUGCUAAAGAUGUUCCACUAAUGAUGCAUCUGGUUCAAAAGUAUGUACAUGAAAUAUUUUGUGACUCAAUGUUAUGUUAAGAUCGUGUUUAUGUUAUCUCUUUAAUAUAGAUGUCCAUAUAUGACAAGAGAAGUAAUAUAGUGUUCAUAAUAAUGUAUUUUCGUAUCGAAUCUUGAUUGGGGCAAGGAGUGGCUACAGUAACGUAUUUUGAGGGGUAUAGGGCCAAUGAAGGUAGUGAUCGAGAAUGUUAUCGUAUAUUAGAUUAUUGUCGCACUGUGUGGUGCCUCGUAUGGUAGGAGACAUAGAUCUCCCAUCGGAUAGUCUAAAGUUGGUGUAUAGAGUUAAUAGAGCGAGACCUCGUUCACUAAGCUAUGACAAAAGGCAAUAUCAUCAAGGAGUGGUUGAUGAAGGCUGGAGGUCGUCAAAAGUCAUAUUCGGAUGUUCGACAUAGAGAUUUGGAGUUUGAGGAAAAUGAAUGGGUGUUUCUAAAGAUUUUCCCCAUGAAAGCAUUACGUGAUUUGUUAAGAAAGGGAAAUUGAGUCUAAGAUACAUUGGGUUAUAUAAAAUCUCGAAACAAAAUUGGCCAAGUAGCCUAUGAACUUAAAUUACCUCAAGAGUUGUCCUCCAUGCAUCCCGUAUUUCAUGUGUCCCUGUUAAAGCAAGUGAUUGGGGAUCCGUCACUCAUUGUCCCUAUGAAGAAUGUUGGGAUUAAUGAAGGUUUGACCUAUAAAGAGGUUCCUGUUGCCAUCUUUUGUAGAUAAGUUCCAAAGUUGAGGACCAAGGAAGUUUCAUCCGUUAAGGCGUUAUGGUGGGAAAAACAUGUGGAAGAAGCGACUUAGGAGGAGGAAGAAGUUAUGAAGUGGAGAUAACCUCGCUUAUUUGUAGGAUAAGGUAAUAGUAUGUAUAGACUAUUGGAAGCCCUCUUCUUUUGGGUAUUAUGUUUUAUGCCCAUGUAUGUGCGCCUCCAUGGCUUGGAGCCGUUACGUAAGUUGAAAACAAUGAAAUGGUGUGUUUAGUUCUAUGUAUACGUACGGUGCCUUCUAUAGCACGUGGAUAUGUUUCUUUGGGUGGUUUAUGUGAUCUUUGACAGGUGGAUACACCUAAAUACAAAGGAGGCUCUACCGAAAUUUUUAAAAAUUUGGGGAGUUAGUUAAAUUUGAGGAACUAAGGCUUGAGGGUAAGUUAUGAAUGAUUAAGAUGAUGGUUUAGGGGUAAGGAGAAUGACUCUAUACUUCGAUAAAACUUGUGGGAUUUUUAGGAAGCGAUUAAGGUUUGAGAAACUAAAGGAGAUGAAUAGGUGUCAAGGAAUUAAGUACUCUCUCUCUAAGUAUGGAAAAGGCCAAGAUCCAACAUUCGAGGACGAAUGUUCCCAAGUGGGGAAGAAUGUAAGGUCCUGUAAAAAAUAAAUUCUAAUGAUUAAGACUUCAUAGUGCACCAACGACGAUUGGGAAUAAUAUUUUUUUUGAGUACUAAAGGAGACCUAUGGGGUGGAACCACAUUAUUUUGUCAUGAAAAGUGUUUCGGAACAUAUUAAGGAGGUUUGUAAGUGGGAAGAAGUUACUUGGAACGAGUUGGAUAUAUUAAGUGGAAAAGACGUCUAAAUUUUUGCACUAUACUUGACUUUGAAUGGGUAUAACUCUCAUAAUAUAAAGGUAUUUUCCAUGAAUUGUACUCUUACAGCGUAGCCCUUUGAGUCUAGUUUCUAACGCAUCUAGCUAUUCGUCAUUUGGACAUUCCUACUAAAAUUAUGAUCAAAUUACCAAAGUCAGACCACCCAGUUAUUUUGGCGGACAGCGAAGCAAGGCUCGCUUCGCCAGACCGGGCGCAGAUCCUGCCUUCCCUUGUAUGCUAUGGACAGCGAAGUGAGGCUCACUUCGCCAGACUGGGCGCGCCCCAGCUUUAGGUCCUUUUAAGUCAUUUCGUGGGCUCAUUUUCCCCAUUUUAUUUGGACGAAUUUUGAAGCUUUCCUCCACUCUCUCAAGACCCCCAACUCCUCCCAUCUUCAAAGUAAGAAAUACCCAUUGUCUUGGCUUGAAUCCUAUCAUUUCUAUACUAGAAGUAACUCAAUCCACCAUGAAAUCCUUAGAUUUUCAAGAAAUGUUUUCAAGAACUAAAGGGAGAGUUUUGCAGGAUUUCUUCCAUAAGAUAAUCCUACACCCUUAGACUUAUAUGCAUGGAUUUAUUAUGGAAAUAUGAGUAAUAAUUAAGUAUUGGAACUCAUGGGAAGGUGAUUGGAAGCCAUAAGUUCCCAAUUUAUAAACUUAGCCAUUGUGGAGAUUGAAAGGUGAUUAUUUGAUGGAAUUUUGUUGGUUGGGUGAGGAUGGAUGGUCAUGCAUGUGAUGUUGGAAGUUAUAAAUUGUUUAAGAAUGAUGGUGGGAUAAAUUGUUGGUAAAAGGUGGUAGUUGAAUGAACUAAUUCUAUGGUUAAGAGAUGUAGAGAUUUAUGCCUACUAGGUGUUUGAUAAAGUGUCUAAAUGGCCUAAAUUAUGGAAUUUGUUAUUGUAGAUUGAAGUUUCUUAGUGUAGUGGAUCAUUGUAGUAUCAUUAUGGGGCUAAUAUGAGGUAUGUUGGCUAAAUUUCUCUCUUAGAAUUGAAUCCCGCGAUGUUCUCGUAAGUCUCAAGUAUGAUGGGCCAAUUUCUUAUUUUUCAUAUCCCGAGUUAUUCAUUAUAAAUUUGACUAUUCCGAAUAAGCUUUGUGUCCAAAGAUGUAUGUUCAAAAUGUGUUCCGAAUGCUCUUGUCAUAUUAUGUUAUCAUUUGAGAAUGUGUUCAAAGUAUGGGUGGUGUAUUAAAAUAUUAUGACUUCAAGUCGUGUUUCAAAUGAAAGCUAUUAUGCCAAAUUGUGUAGAAAUCUCAAUGUGCUUAAGACUCUUAUUUGCUCACAUGUGUACUCAAAGUGUUGAAUAGAAAUGUUUUGUUGUUGAUGAUCCGUGAUGAUAUUUGAAAGUGAAAGAGGUGAGCAUGAAAUAUGAGAUACGACCAACGUGCCAAGAAUGAUAUUACAUUUGGGGCCACUAGUGCCAAUGAAAUUAAGAGACGUGUAAAAUAUGUGGAAAUGAGUAGUAAAUCCUUUAAAUAAUAAACACUCUGGGAGUAUCGUUAGUCACCGAGGAAGGGUAGAUUGAAAUAGCCUAACCCCGAAACUACACGUGCCGGUGUAGGAGUGAAUUGUGAUUAUUCCCCUCAUUUGGGAUGAGAUUGAUGUGAUGAGAAUAUUCCCUUUUAUUGGGAUGAGAUGAUUGCUAGAAAAGGGUGAUGUCGAUCCAUACGGCAUUGUGGUGAGACGGCCUAGCCGGUCGGGUCGUGAUCGGAAGCCAUGCCACACACAUGGUGGUGAUUGUGCUUGAGAUUGUGAUUGAGAUAAUGAUUGAGAUUCUUAUAGCGUUUGUGAUUGUGGUUGAUGUAUUUGGGUGAGACAACCUAGCUGAUGGGGCCAUGAUCGGACUCUGUACUAAAAUCACGGUGGUAUAUCGGUGCUAAAGAUCUCCCAAUCUAAAAUAAUGAAAUUUACUUGAAAUAUUAUCUUGCUCCUAACUUGAUGUUUUAGUAUUGUUUCAGGCUUCUGUUGAUUUUAUGACUACUCUUCCUUGUAUUGUUACCUAUUCUAAUGAGAGGGUGUUUAGUCAUACAUACUACUACUUUUCCAUAUGUACUAACAUCCCUUUUCUCGGAGGCGCUGCAUCUUUAAUGGAUGCAGGUGGUUUCGCAGCAGGUGGCAUUGAUCAUUGAUAGCAGUACAUCCUCUUCUCAGCACAUUUGGUGAGCCCCACUUCAUUCGGGGUCGUGUAUCUUUUGUCCCACGUGUAUUGUAUUUUGAGGUACAACUGGGGCCUUAUUUCCGCGUUAUCAUAGUAUUUUGUAUCCAUUGAGGCUCAGCAGAUACAUUGUGUUGUAUAUGGGUGUUGGGAAAGUCAAACUAGCCUUGUUGUAUUUGAAUCACUUGUUGCACUUUAACCGUGAUUAUGUAUGUAUUUUGAGACUAUAAAAUGAAGUGACUAAUGGUAAUGGAAUUGGCAUUGUUCAUGGAAUACAGUUAAUGGUUAAUUAAUGAUAUAAAUGUAUCUUCUCUUUAUUAAUGGACGAGUCUGGUAGAAGGUAUUGUAAAGGCUUGCUUGACUGGGGUAUCUCAGUUGAGUGCCAGUCAUGCUCCCCAAGGUCAAGGCGUGCCAAUAUACAAGUGGAACAUACCACUAAUGUGUGGCAGUGUGUGCCGCGAGUAUAUACUGUGUGUGGUUCUUGGUACAUUAUCACGAGGAGGGGUUUGAGUCAAAUUGGUGGUGGCUGGUGUAUUUUGUGGUGCUUGGGCAUAGUUUGGAACAUAAGGUGUAUGUAUAGAAGGGUUUGAUGGAUUUUUGGGUGUUACUGGUGGUAUGACUUGAGUUGUGUGGUUUUUGGUGAUAAAUGUUGGGGUAUUGGUUGUUUGUCGGGUUGAUGAAGGUAAAUGGUCAGGUAUUGAAUCUAUGGAAGGGAAGUGGGGUGGUUUCGAAAGCGUCGUCACCGCCAGGUGUGCCAGAUCCCAGAUUUGUUGUACUUCUUCUCUUAGUGACUCCAUUUCCUGUUCCAUUAUGACAACGUGUUCGUCAUUUCGGGUAUCGUCCUUUCCCCCCGACCCCCCUGGGUCGUCGGCUACUACUAGAGCGUUUCUGGCCGGGUCAUCUAUUGCGGUCAUCUUCCUCUUGGAUCUCAGAUUGUACGGUGGCUCGUCCAGUUUUAGGUAUCAACACAAACAAACCUCUAUUUUUGGGGAUAAAAUAAAGCGAUAAUACGAAAACAUAAAUAUAAGUAGAAGUCAGUUUCAGGGAUUGCACAAAUAUAAUCACAUAGAGCAGUUAGUUCACGUAUUCAGACAAACGCGUUUCCUAAUAUACGUAAGGAGCUCUCUUUGCCGGAGGUAGGCUUAUAUCGCGAGCAUUUGACAAACAAUCAGAUUUUGACACAUUCAGAUUCAGAGCAAAUUUUAAUUUUCUUUGAUAGGCUUUGUGGGUUACAAUAAGGCUUCAUCACUGAUACAAGAUGGGGGCAAUUGUUAAUGGCUAUAACAUGUUUCUCAAAGGUUUACAAUAGAUUGCAUGCGCUUAUAGAUUCGCCCUUAGAAAAUGAAAAGGUACAAGAAAGGAAAAUCAACCAGCAACUUAAUAAUUGUCCCUGGAGUCACCUCCUAAGAUUUCUUCUUCCGGCUCCUCCUUGGGGUAUUCUUCAACCUCCUCCUCAUCUUCAUCAUUGUUGUAUUCUAGUUCCUCCUUGGGAUCUUCCUCUAGCUCUAUUUCUAACUCAAUCUGUAUGUAUUCAAUCACCUGAUCAUCGUCAUCAGGCGGUGGCAGCAUGUGGUCGACUGACCCAGGAACUACUUGUUGAUGCAUGGCAGUGGUGAGGAGAUAGUAGGGCAGGAUCUCGUGAUAUAUCUUCAGAGAUGUGGCUGAAUCCUCCAAUCCGGUUAAUCCUUCUCUACUGAGCUUGGCCAGCUCAUCUUCUUCAUUGAUCCACACAAAGUACUCAGACGUGCACCAGGGAUUUUGUCCCAUCCCCAUUGUAAUAAAGUCGUUCCAUUCAUCUUGGAGCCUCCUCACCCUCGGGAUCAGAAUCUGUCCAUUGUAAUCAUCUUCAUACAAAGUUGUCCUUGACAAGAGAGGGAUGUCUUGAAUCAGAUCAAAUUGCCUCAGAACCCUUAGAGGUGCAUACGGCUGAAUCCCUUCCAAUCCUACCAACUCAAUGAAGUACUUCCCCGAGCUCCUCAAGAUUGCCCUGCCACUCAACCAGGAAAGUUUCCAAUUUAUGAAUUCUCCACUUAGAUGGGUCAGCAUUUCCCGCCAUUCCUCAUGUCCAUGUGGCGUAACCUAGUGCCUCAUCCUUUUGUUAUGGCUUCAAAUCAUGUUACUGAUGCCAACAAAAUAGUCAACGAUUGCCUCCCUCUGGAAGAAAUGUUCUGUAGCCCAUAUCUGGAGUAGAAAGUUGCAGCCCCCCUCUGGAAGAAGUGUUUUGUAGCCCAUAUCUGGAAUAGCAAGUUGCAGCCUUUGAAAAAAUCAUAUCCUCUUGAGCAUUUCGACAGUGCUCGAAAUAUCUAUGCCGGUAUCAUGGGAAUAAAGGUGGCUUGCAGAUUUCCCUGGAAGGUUGCCAAAACCAGGGGCAACAAGUUAAUGUUGAUUCGUCCCUUUCUUUAUGGGAACCAAUAGUCCUAACAGUGCCAGAGAAACGGUUAAGGGGCAGAGGCUUUGCCAUGAUGCUUGAUCGCACUGAAAUUCUCAAGAUUCCACUCAUAGCUCUCUCGGUGUCUGAAUCUGUCAAAUAGCUAGUCCAAACUUACCCAUCCAUCUUUGACGUUUCUCACGUUUUCGUUGCUUGUCAGACCCAGUGCAUGGAGGAACCUAUGAUUUGGCAUGAUGACUAGCAAUAUUGGUUUUCGCCCAGCGAAUGGUAUCUUCGUGAAGCUAGUAAUCUCCUCCAGUGUUGGCAUCAACUAACAAUCAACAAAUUUGAGGACCACCUUAGCUACGUCCUAAAACUCUAUCAGCAGCCUAAUAAGGACUUCGUCAGCUUGGAUGUUCAUCAAGGUGGUUAGUGCUCCCAGGUGUGUUCUGAUCUCGUUCCCAUAUUCCUAUCGAAUAUUCCUCCACCACUUCUUCCACUUGUGAGGUGCACCCAUGACCAUAUUAAUCUCGGGGACGUUGCAGUUGAUUUCCAUCUGAAGAGGUGAAAGAUUUGGUAAGUGUCUGCUCCAGAUCUUUUUUGUCUUAUCUAGAUUGAUUCAUCAUUCAAUAGAAAGAAUGUUGUUGGGUGCAUAACCCGUUGACAUUAAGGUGGCUUUCCUAUCAUAAGUCAAUACCAAGGAUUGACCCACCUAAGGUUUAUGCAGCAUGACCUAUGUUUGCUAAGAGUAGAGUGUUUCUUAAUUUUGGAGUUGGACUGAAUAACUGCAAGAUGUUAUGUUAGUUGACCUGACAACGUCGUUCUCUGAAACUAGAGAGAUUUGAAAGAAGGUUUGGAGGGGUAUAAAAGACAACCCUCGCAUGUCAUUUGUGUGUGAUUGUGUAUGACUAAGACUCGAUAGGAAAGAUAUGAUGACUGUAUAAAUUAGUAAUAGAUAAUUAUGAUAAAGCAGUUGAAAAGCAUAAGCAAGUAGAAUAAUGCGAGUGAACACACUUUCCAGGUUUAGCAGAAUAUAACAAACAUCCUCAAAGUUCAAGUCUACCCUAAGUCUGCUAAGGUCAGAACCUAAGUGUAAAAAUCCCCAACAUAGUCGCCAUGUUAUUGCACCCUAUUUUGCACUAACCAAAACAAAAUAUAAUUGAUGGUUCAUCUGAAGUUGAUAAUAGAGAAUCGCCACCUAAUAUUUUAAGGUAUAUUAGGGUACCUAUGGGUUUGUAAGAUUUGGGUAAUCGGUGAGAUUUGGGUAAGGGUUCUAGUUAUUCUAAGGAGAAGGUGUUAGGCACCCCUCAAAAUCUACCUGAGGUAGCUCCUAAGGCUUAGGCUAGGUUCGAGGAAAGAGAUGUCUAUAUUCACCUUAACUAGUGUUCAAAGUCUGAAAAGUAUUCUAUGUUUUGUCUAAAAAUUACUACUUUAAGAAGGUUAUGUAUACUUUGAAAAGAAGUUAUUUAUAAGUAGGAAAUCACCUUUCAAAUAUAUUUAGUUGAAAAGCUAGAUAUACGUUCGUUUUAGAGAAAAGACCUUGUAAACAUUCUUUGCUUGGGUAUAAGCUUCAAAGAGGAUGUUACCUAUUUAUGACUUUGUAGAAUAAGAAACUAUUUUGAAAGUAUACCUCAAGUUGGAAUGAGUGUGCCUUAUUUGUAAACCAAUUUCAGCAAGAAGUUUAUAUUUUUGAAAUUUGUUGAAGUCUAUCAGUUUACAAAUAUCGAAUAUGUUUGAAUUUACUUCUUGAAAAUAACUUUGCAAUCAUUUUUGCAAUCUGAUUUCCCAAAGAGAAUUCUCUUUCGCUUUUGAAUCUGUCGAAGUCCAAAACUCAUUGAAAAUCAUUAGUAAUAACAAGAUAAAACUCUUUUGUUUUGCUGGAAAGAUUAAACUUGAAAUUAGCGAUAAAAUAUAAACUGAGGCGAGCGAGAUUAUUAUUUAGCUUUUACCUACUAGUUAUGGGUUGCCUAAGUUCCUAGAUAAUCAAAAUAUAAAAAAUUAUCCAAUAAAUAAGUUAGUUAUUCAGAGAUAUAUACAUGUAAAAUAGCAAACAUCAGUGAAUAUUGUUCAAGGUAAAAGAAAGGAAGCAACUGUACUCUUGACUGUUGGGCUGGUGAGUCUAACCAGGCCCAACAGAAUUUGGCAGGCCCCAUCAUGCGGACAAGGAGCAGGAUGGAUUUGAAAUUGGGCCUGAGUUCCCAAUAGAACUCAAAAGACCCAAUUUGAAACACGCACACCAAAAAUAAAAUAAAAAAUAAUUAGUGUAUAUCAAUCAUAAAACUAAGUAAAAUAAGGAUUAUGACAAAUAAUAAUGAAGAACUAAAGAAUAUGGUGAGACAACUUUUAUUCAUGUUAACCCUAUAAGGAUUAAUGAAAGUCAGUAACUAAAGGCUUGGUAUGAAUCCUCAUUUAUGGACAUGAUCCCCUUUGUGAGCCCUUGGCACUUUAGAGUUCACGAGGGUGUCACGGACCCUGAUAAAUGCUUAUGUCAAGGAGUGAGAUCAUAACCACAAUAACUUUUCACAUCCAAAUACCCUUAACCACCCACUAUUAAUCUUCCUAAAAGGUUUAAACACAAAUAAAGGAUCAGCACAAUAAUUUCAUAUGGCCAAGACACACACAGUAGGUGUAACAGUCAUGAUAAACCCUCUAAGGAUUCAAGUACACAAAGACUCCACAACUGUGAACAAAUAGGAUACUAUAAUUCAUCAUCAAAGUACAAAAGCAGUCAAGGGCAUAAUAUUGGCUUAAGAGGAUUCAUAUCAGAGUAUAAGAUACACAGGCAUGCAUAAGAUCACUGUGGAUACAUAGUUAGACAAGAAAAUAAGGUACAUACCAUAGACAUGUUUCAUUGCUUAUAGAUUCUAGACCCAGAAGUAUUAUCAGACAAGAAUUACACAGAGGUGAGCAUAGGUGCAUGUUUUACUGUCUUCAGUGUAGGUUGAAUGUUCCAGAAUUCUCCUAGGCAGAUUCAAGAUUAUAAGAACAAGU
Molecule: long non-coding RNA, 33082 nt
Filed under: Nicotiana tabacum (common tobacco)
Lineage: Eukaryota; Viridiplantae; Streptophyta; Magnoliopsida; Solanales; Solanaceae
Description: long non-coding RNA (NTAB_LNC003687)
Source: RNAcentral